CCUACGGGAGGCAGCAGUGAGGAAUAUUGGUCAAUGGACGAGAGUCUGAACCAGCCAAGUAGCGUGAAGGAUGACUGCCCUAUGGGUUGUAAACUUCUUUUAUAUGGGAAUAAAAUGUUCCACGUGUGGGAUUCUGUAUGUAUCAUAUGAAUAAGGAUCGGCUAACUCCGUGCCAGCAGCCGCGGUAAUACGGAGGAUCCGAGCGUUAUCCGGAUUUAUUGGGUUUAAAGGGUGCGUAGGUGGAUUGUUAAGUCAGUUGUGAAAGUUUCCGGCUCAACGGUAAAAUUGCAGUUGAGACUGGCAGUCUUGAAUACAGUAGAGGUGGGCGGAAUUCGUGGUGUAGCGGUGAAAUGCUUAGAUAUCACGAAGAACUCCGAUUGCGAAGGCAGCUCACGGGACUGCAACUGACACUGAGGCUCGAAAGUGUGGGUAUCAAACAGGAUUAGAUACCCUAGUAGUC
This 460-nucleotide ribosomal RNA is filed under the name uncultured bacterium. RNAcentral's name for it is "partial 16S ribosomal RNA". It matches the Rfam family "Bacterial small subunit ribosomal RNA", at positions 338 to 795 of the family's 1533-position model. The record is from RNAcentral.